CUCAACUGUCAAAACCCAACGGCCAAUGACUGACACUACAGCAAUGGAGCCAUCGCCACCACCCAAAUCCAAGAGCACCACCAAACAGCCACCGCCACCGCCACCGCCGCGGCCGCCACUCCACCGCCGCUUAGUAACUCUCGACACGACGCUCUCCCAACGUCUCCAUGUCCUCGCCAAACCUUUCCUUCCCCACUUCAUCCUCCUCCUCCUCGAAAUCUCCGCCGACUUCCGCUUCUUCUUUCCCCUCUCCCUCUCCCUCCUCCUCGCCCCAACCCUAACCCUAAUCCCAUCCCCAAUCCAAAUCCCAGGCCGAGGCGCAAGCCUAAGCCCAAUUCAAAUCCUCCGCCCUCUCCUCUCCCCGCUCAUCCUCGGCCUCCUCCUCGACCUCGCCCUCAUCGGCCUAAUCAAGCUCCUCUUCCGCCGCGCCCGCCCUCUCUACAACAAGAACAUGAACGUCGCCGUUUCGGUCGACCACUUCUCCUUCCCCAGCGGACACGCCUCCAGGGUCUGCUUCGUCGCCGCCCUUCUCCACCUCUCCGCCGCAGCUCUCGCCGAUGCCCUCGCGCUCCUCCGGCCAACGUCUCCGUUCAUUGACCGCUGGUUCGGCUCGGACCCCGUCAGCGCCAUUAGUGUUUUGGUCUUGGUUGCUUGGACCUGGGCCUACGCCACCUCCUUCUCUAGGAUUGUGCUGGGCAGGCAUUUCGUCACCGACGUUUGCGCUGGGGCGUGUUUGGGCAUGUUUGAGGGUCUCGUUGCGUUUCGCUUCCUCAGGUUUUAAGGACUUUCCCUGACUGGAGCAGCCUGAAUAUUGACAAUCUCCUGUGGAAAUCUGCUGCUGUCAGAAAUCUGUUUUAUUUGACCGCAGUUCUGGCUCGAAGGCAAUGUGGUGAAAAUAAUUUCUCAAGGUUUGGGAUACUCCUUUUCCUUUGUGAUGACCCCCGUUGGAUAUGGAACUGGUUUAGCUGUCGACGAUUAUUUUAUUUUCCGUGCUGCACGGCUGGAUUGAUCGUCCAUUAACGUCAUUUUGAUUGUGGAAAGUAGAUGAAAGUAAAGAUAUUCUUGCACCAUGUAGAGGAGAUUUCCUCCGCAACUCUAUGCAAGGGGUAGUAGCAGUAGCAUCCAGAUGUACUGAGAAUUAUAUUGAGUUCAGCUGAUGAAAUAUAUGCUGGCAAAUUCUGUGCUUCUUCUGUGGUAUUUUCCAUGCUUCACUGGAUCUAUUGAGCACUGUAUUUCUCCAAAUGUAUUAAGCUCUGUAUUUCUGUGAUUCAACUGCAUUGGAAUUUAGCUUGUCUCAGAAUCAAAAAACUCUGUUUAGAGGAAAAUAACAGUUAGUUUGCUCAAUCGUCUACAAAUGGUCCAAUGCAGGAACAGUUUCUUCUUGAUGCCUUGUGAGAUUGAAAGCAUGUGCCUGGAUUGGCUACAAAUGGAUAGAAGAUGUGGAACAAGUUGAAAGAUAUGUUUUACUUUUACCUUCUACCUAGUCAACAUUAUUAGGCUUUCAAACUUUCUCCCAUCACUUGUAUGAUUGAUACAAAAAUCAAGUGGGUUAUCUAUUUAAUCACCACGCCCACAAGAAACUAAAACCCUCAAGGUAAAAAAGGUCAUUGUCAAUUUCCAUGGUAAGAAGAUAAUUUGUUUGGAGCCAACUUGUAUUUUGUGACAUUGUAGAUUAAAUUUUUUAUGAUUUCAGAAAUUCUAUUGAUAACCA
This is an RNA transcript of Prunus dulcis (almond), 1711 nucleotides long. It is a transcript of the gene named probable lipid phosphate phosphatase beta, with no coding region annotated. The record is from RefSeq and is a predicted model, not a curated record. The transcript has 3 exons. Lineage: Eukaryota; Viridiplantae; Streptophyta; Magnoliopsida; Rosales; Rosaceae.